CCUACGGGCGGCAGCAGUGAGGAAUAUUGGUCAAUGGGCGCGAGCCUGAACCAGCCAAGUAGCGUGAAGGAUGACUGCCCUACGGGUUGUAAACUUCUUUUAUAAGGGAAUAAGGUGAGGCACGUGUGCCUCUUUGUAUGUACUUUAUGAAUAAGGAUCGGCUAACUCCGUGCCAGCAGCCGCGGUAAUACGGAGGAUCCGAGCGGUAUCUGGAUUUAUUGGGUUUAAAGGGAGCGUAGAUGGGUUGUUAAGUCAGGUGUGAAAGUUUGCGGCUCAACCGGAGAAUUGCAAUUGAUACUGGCAACCUUGAGUACAGUUGAGGUAGGCGGAAUUCGUGGUGUAGCGGUGAAAUGCUUAGAUAUCACGAAGAACUCCGAUUGCGAAGGCAGCUUACUAAACUGCCACUGACAUUGAUGCUCGAAAGUGUGGGUAUCAAACAGGAUUAGAUACCCCUGUAGUC
Molecule: ribosomal RNA, 460 nt
Filed under: uncultured bacterium
Lineage: Bacteria
Description: partial 16S ribosomal RNA
Rfam family: Bacterial small subunit ribosomal RNA
Source: RNAcentral